This 1520-nucleotide ribosomal RNA is filed under the name cf. Francisella sp. CYH-2002. RNAcentral's name for it is "partial 16S ribosomal RNA". It matches the Rfam family "Bacterial small subunit ribosomal RNA". The record is from RNAcentral. Lineage: Bacteria; Pseudomonadati; Pseudomonadota; Gammaproteobacteria; Thiotrichales; Francisellaceae.
AGAGUUUGAUCCUGGCUCAGAUUGAACGCUGGUGGCAUGCUUAACACAUGCAAGUCGAACGGUAACAGGUCUUCGGAUGCUGACGAGUGGCGGACGGGUGAGUAACGCGUAGGAAUCUGCCCAUCUGUGGGGGAUACCAGUUGGAAACGACUGUUAAUACCGCAUAAUAUCUGCGGAUUAAAGGUGGCCUUUGCGCUGCCGCAGAUGGAUGAGCCUGCGUUGGAUUAGCUAGUUGGUGGGGUAAGGGCCUACCAAGGCUACGAUCCAUAGCUGAUUUGAGAGGAUGAUCAGCCACAUUGGGACUGAGACACGGCCCAAACUCCUACGGGAGGCAGCAGUGGGGAAUAUUGGACAAUGGGGGAAACCCUGAUCCAGCAAUGCCAUGUGUGUGAAGAAGGCUCUAGGGUUGUAAAGCACUUUAGUUGGGGAGGAAAGCCUGUGAGUUAAUAGCUUGCAGGAAGGACGUUGCCCAAAGAAUAAGGACCGGCUAACUCCGUGCCAGCAGCCGCGGUAAUACGGGGGGUCCGAGCGUUAAUCGGAAUUACUGGGCGUAAAGGGUCUGUAGGUGGUUUGUUAAGUCAGAUGUGAAAGCCCAGGGCUCAACCUUGGAACUGCAUUUGAUACUGACAAACUAGAGUAUGGUAGAGGAAUAGGGAACUUCUGGUGUAGCGGUGAAAUGCGUAGAGAUCAGAAGGAACACCAAUGGCGAAGGCAACAUUCUGGACCAAUACUGACACUGAGGGACGAAAGCGUGGGGAUCAAACAGGAUUAGAUACCCUGGUAGUCCACGCUGUAAACGAUGAGUACUAGCUGUUGGAUUCGGUGUAAAGGAUCUAGUGGCGCAGCUAACGCGUUAAGUACUCCGCCUGGGGACUACGGCCGCAAGGCUAAAACUCAAAGGAAUUGACGGGGACCCGCACAAGCGGUGGAGCAUGUGGUUUAAUUCGAUGCAACGCGAAGAACCUUACCUGGUCUUGACAUCCUGCGAACUUUCUAGAGAUAGAUUGGUGCCUUCGGGAACGCAGUGACAGGUGCUGCACGGCUGUCGUCAGCUCGUGUUGUGAAAUGUUGGGUUAAGUCCCGCAACGAGCGCAACCCCUAUUGAUAGUUACCAUCAUUAAGUUGGGUACUCUAUUGAGACUGCCGCUGACAAGGCGGAGGAAGGUGGGGACGACGUCAAGUCAUCAUGGCCCUUACGACCAGGGCUACACACGUGCUACAAUGGGUAUUACAGAGGGCUGCGAAGGUGCGAGCUGGAGCGAAACUCAGAAAGGUACUCUUAGUCCGGAUUGCAGUCUGCAACUCGACUGCAUGAAGUCGGAAUCGCUAGUAAUCGCAGGUCAGAAUACUGCGGUGAAUACGUUCCCGGGUCUUGUACACACCGCCCGUCACACCAUGGGAGUGGGUUGCUCCAGAAGUAGAUAGCUUAACGAAUGGGCGUUUACCACGGAGUGAUUCAUAACUGGGGUGAAGUCGUAACAAGGUAGCCGUAGGGGAACCUGCGGCUGGAUCACCUCCUU